Molecule: ribosomal RNA, 67 nt
Filed under: Alexandrium sp. qd1
Lineage: Eukaryota; Dinophyceae; Gonyaulacales; Pyrocystaceae
Description: partial 18S ribosomal RNA
Rfam family: Eukaryotic small subunit ribosomal RNA
Source: RNAcentral
CUUAUCGCUUAGAGGAAGGAGAAGUCGUAACAAGGUUUCUGUAGGUGAACCUGCAGAAGGAUCAUUU